This 441-nucleotide ribosomal RNA is filed under the name uncultured bacterium. RNAcentral's name for it is "partial 16S ribosomal RNA". It matches the Rfam family "Bacterial small subunit ribosomal RNA", at positions 338 to 795 of the family's 1533-position model. The record is from RNAcentral.
CCUACGGGAGGCAGCAGUGGGGAAUAUUGCACAAUGGGCGCAAGCCUGAUGCAGCAACGCCGCGUGAGUGAUGAAGGCUUUCGGGUCGUAAAACUCUGUCCUAAGGGAAGAAUAAAUGACGGUACCUUAGGAGGAAGCCCCGGCAAACUACGUGCCAGCAGCCGCGGUAAUACGUAGGGGGCAAGCAUUAUCCGGAAUCACUGGGCGUAAAGGGUGCGUAGGCGGCUGAGCAAGCCAGGGGUGAAAGGCAGUAGCUUAACUAUUGUAAGCCUUUGGAACUGUUCAGCUUGAGUGUAGGAGAGGUAAGUGGAAUUCCUAGUGUAGCGGUGAAAUGCGUAGAUAUUAGGAGGAACACCAGUGGCGAAGGCGACUUACUGGACUAUAACUGACGCUGAGGCACGAAAGCGUGGGGAGCAAACAGGAUUAGAUACCCCAGUAGUC